This 1562-nucleotide long non-coding RNA is filed under the name Macaca mulatta (Rhesus monkey). RNAcentral describes it as "lncRNA (ENSMMUG00000037908.2)". The record is from RNAcentral. Lineage: Eukaryota; Metazoa; Chordata; Mammalia; Primates; Cercopithecidae.
UGGGUAUAUGUACGCAGGGCGAAGGUAGGUUCCUCUCCAAGAAGGCUCAACUACAGGGUUUCCAGGAGCCUUGAACAGAGCACAGGUGAAGAGAGGAUGGGUUAUGCAGGCGCCGGCCACACAGCUGUUCCCAGGGACCCUUUAGGAGCGCUUGUACCGGCCACAGGAAACAGCAAAGGAACGGCAGCUGAAUCAGGAAAAGGGGAGCAAACUGAAAUUUAGCAGCAUUUUGAAGGCAGCCGUGGACCAGCACUGUCUGCCCCACUGUUCUUCAGCAGACACAGGCAUUAAUCCAGACCCUGAGAUUGCCAUCCUGUGAGAACACACAAAGGAAGACAUUCAGUGAAGAUGCACCCUCUUCCAGAGGUGCCCCAAAAGGGCAGACCAUGGCAGCCUCAUCUUUCUGGUUUUGAACUAGGUCCCUCUACUUGAGGGAAGUGCAAUGGAAUAGAGACAGCACCUCCCUGGGCAGCAGGGAAGCUGGCUCUAAGCCCCACGCUGGUGCCAAGACCAGCUGCCUACCUGAUGCCCCUAAUCUUCGGUUCCCUCCUCCGUGAAUUGCCGGCAUUAACUCUCCUGAAUGCUGCACCACAGGCUGCAGCUAAGCACUCUAUGCACCAAGCAAAGUUCAUGUGAACACACACAAUAUGAUGUCUGUUUACGAGACAGGAAGAGAUGCUUCGCCAGAGUGUGACCUUGCUGACACCAUGAUCUUGGACUUCCAGUCUCCAGAACUCUUCCCUUGGCUUGUGAUGCACAACUCAAAUCUCAGCUUCUAUCCCCACGUAGCUGUCUUCACAUAGUCUUCACUCUGUGGACACCUGCCUUCACGUUUUCUCCUUCUUAUAAAGACACUUGUUCUGUUGGAUUCGGGGCCCAUCUCACUCCAGGAUGACUCCAUGUUAACUUAACUAAUUACAUCUGUAACAUGAUGUAGUUUCCAAAUAAGGUUGCAUUUUAAGUUUCUGGGGUUAAGACUUCCACAUAUAUUUUUGGACGACACGAUUCAGCCCAUAACACUGGUUUUACCCUUGCAUGGACAGGGUGAUUUAUACUUUCUUGCAGUGUCUGUGUAACUUGAAGCCUUAAUUCAUUAAGAUUAGUGUGAUUUUAUUUUGUUACUCUUUUUUCAUCCACUCAUUUUCCUUUGUCACUUGAAAAAAAUAUAUAUAUUUUAAAGUUGAGACCGCAGCCAAAGCUGUAGGCAGAGCCUGAUUCUGAUGGCCCUCUGGCCCUUCAGAUGGGCAGUUUCUCAGUGGCAAUGACAAGAAACCCAGGCAGCCGCACACACACACAUGCCACAUGGCUUUGCAAUGAGUGGCAGAGGCAGGAAUAUCUUCAAAGCAUAUGGAAAGCAGGGAGAUGAGGAGGUGCGCUGGAGCCAGGACAGUGACGAGCUUCGCAGGGCUCUGGCGUGCAGGGGAGGGGACAAAAAUAACCAGCAAAUCCCUUCUCUGCGGAGAACCACCAGUGAAGAGGAUCGACAGACAAGUGACGGGAGGAAACAGGACGUGGAUCUGGGCUUGCAAACCGGACAGGUUGUGGCUCCAGAUGGCAAAAAA